ACUAGUGGCGGACGGGUGAGUAACGCGUGAGAAUCUGCCUUCAGGAUGGGGACAACAGUUGGAAACGACUGCUAAUACCCAAUAUGCCUACGGGUGAAACUUUUUUGGCCUGAAGAUGAGCUCGCGUCUGAUUAGCUAGUUGGUGGGGUAAGAGCCUACCAAGGCAUCGAUCAGUAGCUGGUCUGAGAGGAUGAGCAGCCACACUGGGACUGAGACACGGCCCAGACUCCUACGGGAGGCAGCAGUGGGGAAUUUUCCGCAAUGGGCGAAAGCCUGACGGAGCAAUACCGCGUGAGGGAGGAAGGUUUUUGGAUUGUAAACCUCUUUUCUCAGGGAAGAAUUUUGACGGUACCUGAGGAAUAAGCAUCGGCUAACUCCGUGCCAGCAGCCGCGGUAAUACGGGGGAUGCAAGCGUUAUCCGGAAUUAUUGGGCGUAAAGAGUCCGUAGGUGGUCAUGCAAGUCUGCUGUCAAAGCCCACAGCUUAACUGUGGAUAGGCGGUGGAAACUGCAUGACUUGAGUACGGUAGGGGUAGAGGGAAUUCCCAGUGUAGCGGUGAAAUGCGUAGAUAUUGGGAAGAACACCGGUGGCGAAAGCGCUCUACUGGACCGUAACUGACACUGAGGGACGAAAGCCAAGGUAGCGAAAGGGAUUAGAUACCCCUGUAGUCUUGGCCGUAAACGAUGGAUACUAGGCGUUGUCUGUAUCGACCCGGACAGUGCCGAAGCUAACGCGUUAAGUAUCCCGCCUGGGGAGUACGCACGCAAGUGUGAAACUCAAAGGAAUUGACGGGGGCCCGCACAAGCGGUGGAGUAUGUGGUUUAAUUCGAUGCAACGCGAAGAACCUUACCAAGAUUUGACAUCCCGUGAACUUUCCAGA
Molecule: ribosomal RNA, 879 nt
Filed under: uncultured bacterium
Lineage: Bacteria
Description: bacterial SSU rRNA
Rfam family: Bacterial small subunit ribosomal RNA
Source: RNAcentral